GGGCCGCACGCGCGCUACACUGACGGAGCCAGCGAGUAUAAACCUUGGCCGAGAGGUCUGGGAAAUCUUGUGAAACUCCGUCGUGCUGGGGAUAGAGCAUUGUAAUUAUUGCUCUUCAACGAGGAAUUCCUAGUAAGCGCAAGUCAUCAGCUUGCGUUGAUUACGUCCC
RNAcentral lists this ribosomal RNA (169 nucleotides) under Lodderomyces elongisporus. RNAcentral's name for it is "partial 18S rRNA". It matches the Rfam family "Eukaryotic small subunit ribosomal RNA", at positions 1484 to 1653 of the family's 1831-position model. The record is from RNAcentral. Lineage: Eukaryota; Fungi; Ascomycota; Pichiomycetes; Serinales; Debaryomycetaceae.